AUAUGUCCUCAACUGCCACAUCCACACGUUGUUUUCACACUUCCAGGGAUGGUGACUCCACUACUGCUCGGGGCAGCCUGUGCUAGGCCCUGCCA
Non-coding RNA from Sturnus vulgaris (Common starling), 95 nucleotides. The record is from RefSeq and is a predicted model, not a curated record. Lineage: Eukaryota; Metazoa; Chordata; Aves; Passeriformes; Sturnidae.